This 392-nucleotide ribosomal RNA is filed under the name Stramenopiles sp. MAST-3A. Its description in RNAcentral is "partial small subunit ribosomal RNA". It matches the Rfam family "Eukaryotic small subunit ribosomal RNA", at positions 582 to 975 of the family's 1831-position model. The record is from RNAcentral.
AUUCCAGCUCCAAUAGCGUAUAUUAAUGUUGUUGCAGUUAAAAAGCUCGUAGUUGGAUUUCUGGAUCGAGCGCUCUGUCCGUCGCUGUGCGAUGCGUACUUGAGUCGUCUCGUUUCAUCCUUGCAGGGAAGCGCGUUCGACAUUUGUUUGUCGACGCGGGGAACUGCAUCUUUUACUGUGAAAAAAUUAGAGUGUUUAAAGCAGGCAUUUUGCUGUGAAUACAUUAGCAUGGAAUAAUAACAUAGGACCCUGGUUCUAUUUUGUUGGUUGGAGGCCAAGGUAAUGAUUAAUAGGGACAGUUGGGGCAUUAGUAUUUAUUAGCUAGAGGUGGAAUUCUCUAAUUUGAUAAAGACUAACUUAUGCGAAAGCAUUUGCCAAGGAUGUUUUCAUCA